This 315-nucleotide ribosomal RNA is filed under the name uncultured eukaryote. RNAcentral's name for it is "partial 18S ribosomal RNA". It matches the Rfam family "Eukaryotic small subunit ribosomal RNA", at positions 1470 to 1796 of the family's 1831-position model. The record is from RNAcentral.
CCCUUAGAUGUCCUGGGCCGCACGCGUGCUACACUGACACUUACACCGAGUUUUUCCGGCCCCGAGAGGUGGCUGGUAAUCAGUAAUAGGUGUCGUGAUGGGGAUAGAUCUUUGGAAUUAUUGAUCUUGAACGAGGAAUGCCUAGUAAUCGUAGGUCAUCAGCCUGCGAUGAUUACGUCCCUGCCCUUUGUACACACCGCCCGUCGCUCCUACCGAUUUCGAGUGGUCCGGUGAACCUUUCGGACAGAGAGAGUCUCGUACAAUCUCUGAAAGUCAAGUAAACCACAUCACUUAGAGGAAGGAGGAGUCGUAACA